CCCUUAGACGUUCUGGGCCGCACGCGCGCUACACUGACGAAGGCAACGAGCUUUCCUUUACCGAAAGGUACGGGUAAUCUUUUGAAACUUCGUCGUGCUGGGGAUAGAUCCUUGCAAUUUUUGAUCUUAAACGAGGGAUGCCUAGUAAGCGCAAGUCAUCAACUUGCGUUGAUUACGUCCCUGCCCUUUGUACACACCGCCCGUCGCUACUACCGAUUGAAUGGUUUAGUGAGGCCUUCGGAUCCGCGACUCGUUUUGUGGAGAAGUUGGACAAACUCAGUCAUUUAGAGGAAGUAAAAGUCGUAACA
This 308-nucleotide ribosomal RNA is filed under the name uncultured eukaryote. Its description in RNAcentral is "partial 18S ribosomal RNA". It matches the Rfam family "Eukaryotic small subunit ribosomal RNA", at positions 1470 to 1796 of the family's 1831-position model. The record is from RNAcentral.